GUGCUUACUUCGGCAGCACAUAUACUAAAAUUGGAAGGAUGAAGAGAAAAUUAGCAUGGCUCCUGUGCAAGUGUUCCAUGUUUCUCCUCAACCAAAUAAU
This 100-nucleotide small nuclear RNA is filed under the name Microtus ochrogaster (prairie vole). The record is from RNAcentral. Lineage: Eukaryota; Metazoa; Chordata; Mammalia; Rodentia; Cricetidae.